Molecule: long non-coding RNA, 130 nt
Organism: Sander lucioperca (pikeperch)
Lineage: Eukaryota; Metazoa; Chordata; Actinopteri; Perciformes; Percidae
Exons: 5
Source: RefSeq, a predicted model, not a curated record
CUGCUGCAAAAAUAGCCUCGGUAAGGAACUUAUUUUGGUGGAACAUGUGUACGUUCAAAAGUUGUUUUAGUCGUGCAACAGAAAACUCAGAUUGGACAGAUAUAAUGUAAUUCAAGUGGACUGUGAGAAA